This 440-nucleotide ribosomal RNA is filed under the name uncultured bacterium. Its description in RNAcentral is "bacterial SSU rRNA". It matches the Rfam family "Bacterial small subunit ribosomal RNA", at positions 338 to 792 of the family's 1533-position model. The record is from RNAcentral.
CCUACGGGAGGCAGCAGCAAGGAAUUUUCCACAAUGGGCGCAAGCCUGAUGGAGCAACGCCGCGUGGGGGAUGACGCCCUUCGGGGUGUAAACCCCUUUUCCGGGGGACGAAGCAAGUGACGGUACCCCGGGAAGAAGGCCCGGCUAACUACGUGCCAGCAGCCGCGGUAAGACGUAGGGGCCGAGCGUUGUCCGGAGUUACUGGGCGUAAAGCGCGCGCAGGCGGUCGUCCGCAUCGGCGGUGAAAGCCCCCCGCUCAACGGGGGAGGGUCCGUCGAGAUGGGGCGACUGGAGGCAGGGAGAGGCGAGUGGAAUUCCGGGUGUAGUGGUGAAAUGCGUAGAGAUCCGGAGGAACACCAGUGGCGAAGGCGGCUCGCUGGACCUGACCUGACGCUGAGGCGCGAAGGCGUGGGGAGCGAACGGGAUUAGAUACCCCGGUA